UGCUGGAUACAAAAAAAUGGUGCCGAUUAUGGCUACAUGUCGCAAAUUUCUGUGUGUCGUCAUCAUAGCCAUCUGCGCUGGACUAGGCACCACAUUUAAAAUAGAUUCUCACGGUCAAAUAGAAUUCGAACCGCAUGAGGCGGAACGUUUCCAACCGCGUCCACCCUACUUUGACGACUGCCCGGGUGGUGACUGCCAUCGCUUUAAGGAAAACAAGGAGCACGCUGAUAACGUCAGCCUGGCUAAAGUUGAAUGGAAGAUGGUCUCCCAGUGUAUUCUCUCAGAUGUUGGCGAAAUUAAUGUCAAUCGAUUUCAAAAAUUAAUUACGCUUAUAUAUCUAAUGUGAUUUUUUUUAAAUACAUGGUCUCGCAAUUCGCACGUUUGGCAAAAAUACUUAUUUUUUCCAGAAGAGGAGAAAACCUGCAGUAAAAUUAGAAAGUGUAAAAUUUGUCAACUUUUGAACCCAUGUUCUCCUCUUCGGAUGCAGGUAACUUCGCCAAUGGUGACAGUAUCUUUUGCAAAUGUCAGGCUAAUUAAAGUUAUGAUCGAUUGACAUUAAUUACCCAAAACUGAAGAGCGUGUACUGGAAACCUCGAUUGUUAGUGUAUGAUACAAAACAUUUUUCAAAUUUACCAAAUUCGCUUAACAUCGGAAACACUAGAAACCAGUAUUUUUUCAGAAAUCCAGGUGGAACACGCUUAAAGAUAAUGUUACACGUUUGAAACUUAAAACCACUGGAUGCUAAAUGCAACAAACUGUACCAAACCCAUAAGAGUAACGUUAGCUUGAUAAAGAGGUUGGUUGGAUAAUUGCCAUUUCGAUUAUCGUCUUCUUCAUCAUCUUUGUCUGUAUUCCGGUCGGGGUUUGCUUCUUUUGUGGUUACGGCUGCUUCGCAUGGCGGAAACGAAACCAAAACCAACCACAGCCCCCACUUGCUUAUACUCAAGGAAAACUCGAAGCACGAUACCAGCAGUAACAACAGUACGGUCAAAACGCAAGAAAUUAGUACGAUAAACAACUGGUGGUCACCUUGGGUCACGCAAAGAAGAUUCGUAUCUAAUUAACUGAAUAAAGAUACAAAUGAUUGAAGAUUAUCAAUAAACAUAAAAAUAUAUAUA
This is a long non-coding RNA of Folsomia candida, 1118 nucleotides long. RefSeq lists it as uncharacterized. The transcript is spliced from 3 exons. Lineage: Eukaryota; Metazoa; Arthropoda; Collembola; Entomobryomorpha; Isotomidae. The record is from RefSeq and is a predicted model, not a curated record.